CUCUCUCCUCUAUAACCAAAUCCUUCAUCCCACCUUCUUCUUGCUACCUCAACAACAACCGUAGCACCACAACCCCUUAGAUCUGACACAAGUGUCUUCCAACGACUCAAAGGCACAACGACGACGAGGGGCCGCGGAAUGGGGGUAAUGGUGGUGGUGAUUGGAGUAAUCCGGCCGGCGACGACGGACAUGGGUACCUUGGUGACGAGACCCCCAAAAUAGAACCUUGGUAACGAGAAACAAGGAGAGAAAGGUAGAAUCUAUCUACCCAAAUUGUGGUGAGAAAUCAUGGAGUUAAAAGGGUUAAUCAUCAUCAUCCCUUAGUCAACAAGAAACAGAGGUAUGUGAUUCUUCUUCUUUAAAACCCUAGUUUUUGGGUAUUCUUGAGAGAGAGGCGAUGAGAGAGAGAGUCGAAGGAAGAAGAAGGAGCCGGCGAUGUGCCGGCGGCGCUGUGACGGGACUCGACGACGAAGACCGUCGUUUCUUUUCCGGAAACUCUUCAAGUCCUCUUCUUUUUCUGCUUCUUUUCUUUUAGAUCUUUUUAAGAUCCGGGUGUUCACCGACCGUAGCCGGUAGUUUUCAGGAAGAAUUUGGUGAUGAAGAUGAACACGAUGGUGAGAUGAAGAAGAUAUUGAUUAUGAUUAUGGCGGCAGCCGGCCGGCGAUGGAGCCACGCCGGCGGCGACGACAAUGGUGGUGAUUAUAUUUAGUUGGUUUUGAGUGGGUGUUUGAGCUUAUAAUACCCAAUCAAUGAGAAUUGAAUCUUUGUUGCACGUUUUGGGAUAUUUGGGGGGGGGGGUUAGUAUUACAAGUUGAAUUAUAUUGGAAGUAGGUUCCUAGUUAGUCAAGUAAGUUUUAUGUUUAUACAUGGUGGUUAG
This 877-nucleotide long non-coding RNA is filed under the name Helianthus annuus (common sunflower). Lineage: Eukaryota; Viridiplantae; Streptophyta; Magnoliopsida; Asterales; Asteraceae. The record is from RNAcentral.